UACGGGGGGGCAAGCGUUGUUCGGAAUUACUGGGCGUAAAGGGCUUGUAGGCGGCCAACUAAGUCCGACGUGAAAUCCCCAGGCUUAACCUGGGAACUGCGUCGGAUACUGGAUGGCUUGAAUUCGGGAGAGGGAUGCAGAAUUCCAGGUGUAGCGGUGAAAUGCGUAGAUAUCUGGAGGAACACCGGUGGCGAAGGCGGCGUUCUGGACUGCAACUGACACUGAAAAACGAAAGCCAGGGGAGCAAACGGG
This 252-nucleotide ribosomal RNA is filed under the name uncultured bacterium. RNAcentral's name for it is "partial 16S ribosomal RNA". It matches the Rfam family "Bacterial small subunit ribosomal RNA", at positions 524 to 776 of the family's 1533-position model. The record is from RNAcentral.